RNAcentral lists this ribosomal RNA (1099 nucleotides) under Actinomycetes bacterium. RNAcentral describes it as "bacterial SSU rRNA". It matches the Rfam family "Bacterial small subunit ribosomal RNA", at positions 92 to 1196 of the family's 1533-position model. Lineage: Bacteria; Bacillati; Actinomycetota; Actinomycetes. The record is from RNAcentral.
AAGUUGGCGAACGGGUGAGUAAUACGUGAGUAACCUACCUUUAACUCUGGGAUAAGCCUGGGAAACUGGGUCUAAUACCGGAUACGACCAAUCUCCGCAUGGGGUGUUGGUGGAAAGCGUUAUGUAGUGGUUAUAGAUGGGCUCACGGCCUAUCAGCUUGUUGGUGAGGUAACGGCUCACCAAGGCGACGACGGGUAGCCGGCCUUGAGAGGGUGACCGGCCAAACUGGGACUGAGACACGGCCCAGACUCCUACGGGAGGCAGCAGUGGGGAAUAUUGCACAAUGGGCGCAAGCCUGAUGCAGCGACGCCGCGUGAGGGAUGACGGCCUUCGGGUUGUAAACCUCUGUUAGCAGGGAAGAAGAGAAAUGACGGUACCUGCAGAGAAAGCGCCGGCUAACUACGUGCCAGCAGCCGCGGUAAUACGUAGGGCGCCAGCGUUGUCCGGAAUUAUUGGGCGUAAAGAGCUUGUAGGCGGUUUGUCGCGUCUGCUGUGAAAGGCCGGGGCUUAACCCCGUGUAUUGCAGUGGGUACGGGCAGACUAGAGUGCAGUAGGGGAGACUGGAAUUCCUGGUGUAGCGGUGGAAUGCGCAGAUAUCAGGAGGAACACCGAUGGCGAAGGCAGGUCUCUGGGCUGUAACUGACGCUGAGAAGCGAAAGCAUGGGGAGCGAACAGGAUUAGAUACCCUGGUAGUCCAUGCCGUAAACGUUGGGCACUAGGUGUGGGGAACAUUCCACGUUUUCCGCGCCGUAGCUAACGCAUUAAGUGCCCCGCCUGGGGAGUACGGCCGCAAGGCUAAAACUCAAAGAAAUUGACGGGGGCCCGCACAAGCGGCGGAGCAUGCGGAUUAAUUCGAUGCAACGCGAAGAACCUUACCAAGGCUUGACAUAUACUGGACCGCAUCAGAGAUGGUGUUUCCCUUCGGGGCUGGUAUACAGGUGGUGCAUGGUUGUCGUCAGCUCGUGUCCUGAGAAUGUUGGGUUAAGUCCCGCAACGAGCGCAACCCUCGUUCUAUGUUGCCAGCACGUAAUGGUGGGGACUCAUAGGAAACUGCCAGGAUCAACUCGGAGAGAACGUGGAGAUGACGUCAAAUCAUCAU